This 558-nucleotide ribosomal RNA is filed under the name Alternaria solani. Its description in RNAcentral is "eukaryotic LSU rRNA". The stretch from base 182 to 335 matches the Rfam family "5.8S ribosomal RNA". Lineage: Eukaryota; Fungi; Ascomycota; Dothideomycetes; Pleosporales; Pleosporaceae. The record is from RNAcentral.
CGCUUGUUAAUUUAUUAGUAAAUAGGGUUUUUGUCUGCCGCGGGGGGGGGGGACAGCCUUGCUGAAUUAUUCACCCUUGUCUUUUGCGUACUUCUUGUUUCCUUGGUGGGUUCGCCCACCACUAGGACAAACAUAAACCUUUUGUAAUUGCAAUCAGCGUCAGUAACAAAUUAAUAAUUACAACUUUCAACAACGGAUCUCUUGGUUCUGGCAUCGAUGAAGAACGCAGCGAAAUGCGAUAAGUAGUGUGAAUUGCAGAAUUCAGUGAAUCAUCGAAUCUUUGAACGCACAUUGCGCCCUUUGGUAUUCCAAAGGGCAUGCCUGUUCGAGCGUCAUUUGUACCCUCAAGCUUUGCUUGGUGUUGGGCGUCUUGUCUCUAGCUUUGCUGGAGACUCGCCUUAAAGUAAUUGGCAGCCGGCCUACUGGUUUCGGAGCGCAGCACAAGUCGCACUCUCUAUCAGCAAAGGUCUAGCAUCCAUUAAGCCUUUUUUCAACUUUUGACCUCGGAUCAGGUAGGGAUACCCGCUGAACUUAAGCAUAUCAAAAAGCCGGAGGAAA